RNAcentral lists this ribosomal RNA (468 nucleotides) under uncultured bacterium. RNAcentral describes it as "partial 16S ribosomal RNA". It matches the Rfam family "Bacterial small subunit ribosomal RNA", at positions 28 to 507 of the family's 1533-position model. The record is from RNAcentral.
GACGAACGCUGGCGGCGUGCUUAACACAUGCCAGUCGAACGGAAAGGCCCUGCUUUUGUGGGGUGCUCGAGUGGCGAACGGGUGAGUAACACGUGAGUAACCUGCCCUUGACUUUGGGAUAACUUCAGGAAACUGGGGCUAAUACCGGAUAGGAGCUCCUGCUGCAUGGUGGGGGUUGGAAAGUUUCGGCGGUUGGGGAUGGACUCGCGGCUUAUCAGCUUGUUGGUGGGGUAGUGGCUUACCAAGGCUUUGACGGGUAGCCGGCCUGAGAGGGUGACCGGCCACAUUGGGACUGAGAUACGGCCAAGACUCCUACGGGAGGCAGCAGUGGGGAAUAUUGCACAAUGGGCGGAAGCCUGAUGCAGCAACGCCGCGUGCGGGAUGACGGCCUUCGGGUUGUAAACCGCUUUCGCCUGUGACGAAGCGUGAGUGACGGUAAUGGGUAAAGAAGCACCGGCUAACUACGUG